GACGUAGGGCGCGAGCGUUGUCCGGAUUUAUUGGGCGUAAAGAGCUCGUAGGCGGCUUGUCGCGUCGUCCGUGAAAACCUGCGGCUCAACUGCAGGCUUGCGGUCGAUACGGGCAGGCUGGAGUUUGGUAGGGGAGACUGGAAUUCCUGGUGUAGCGGUGAAAUGCGCAGAUAUCAGGAGGAACACCGGUGGCGAAGGCGGGUCUCUGGGCCGAUACUGACGCUGAGGAGCGAAAGCGUGGGGAGCGAACAGG
RNAcentral lists this ribosomal RNA (253 nucleotides) under uncultured bacterium. RNAcentral's name for it is "partial 16S ribosomal RNA". It matches the Rfam family "Bacterial small subunit ribosomal RNA", at positions 524 to 776 of the family's 1533-position model. The record is from RNAcentral.